AAACCCAGAUUUUCAUCAUUUUGGUUUUCUUAAAGUGAGUGCCUCCCCUGUCAUGGGUUGCUGCCCCCCAUUUGGGAAAGGAAGAAAGGAGUUAUCAGGGAAACAAAACUGAUGAUAAUCCAGAUCCCCUAGAAGUGAAAUCUACACUCUGUGAACAGUAAAACCAACUGCUUGGCACCUGUUAGCACCGUACGGCUGUUUGAAAGCCUAAGGCAGACUUCACCAGCCCAGCGCCCGGCCGGCCAGCCAGCAUCACAGUCUCCCAUAAACACCACCGCGGGCUGUCCUUGGGGCUCUGGGCCUGCAGGGGGAUUCAAGAGGUUUCUUCUAUUGGGACUCAGAAGCCCUGGCCAGCAUUUCCUUCAGAAGAGAGACAUUUGUGAUGGGCCCAGCCUCUUGCCAGAACUUUCCAAGACAAAGAAGACCUUGAUGCUCCUGGCUCUGCAGCAAAACAGCCAAAUGGGCAUUACGGGGACACAGGUGACCACGCUGUCUUGACUGGCCAGCCUGAGACCAGGUGUGUCUGCACAGUGGUGUAACCCACUGCUCAUUCAGGCCUGUGCUGCAGGUUGGCCGUGUCUAGAAGUUCAAUCGUGGAAGGCCCCAGAACAAGGGUGACUACAAACAACCUUCAGAAGCAGCAAGAAAGCGGUACAUGGCAGUGAGGACAGCAUGGCUGAGGCGGGCUGCAUCCCUGCCUCUCUAGUGACUUGGGUUUAAAAAGCUUUUUGUCUAGGGGCGCCUGGGUGGCUCAGUCGGAGGCUCAGCUCAGGUCAGAUCUCAUGUUCGUGGGUUGGAGCCCCGC
Suricata suricatta (meerkat) is the source of this 805-nucleotide long non-coding RNA. RefSeq lists it as uncharacterized. The record is from RefSeq and is a predicted model, not a curated record. The transcript has 3 exons. NCBI's taxonomy places the organism in Eukaryota, Metazoa, Chordata, Mammalia, Carnivora, Herpestidae.